GGAACAACAGCUGGAAACGGCUGCUAAUACCGCAUACGCCCGGUAACGGGGAAAGCUUUAUGCGCUCUAGAGGAACCUGCGUCCGAUUAGCCUAGUUGGAGGGGUAACGGCCCACCAAGGCGACUAUCGGUAGCUGGUCUGAGAGGAUGAUCAGCCACACUGGGACUGAGACACGGCCCAGACUCCUACGGGAGGCAGCAGUGGGGAAUAUUGGACAAUGGGGGCAACCCUGAUCCAGCAAUGCCCGCGUGCGUGAAGAAAGCCGGGGUAAUACCGA
RNAcentral lists this ribosomal RNA (277 nucleotides) under uncultured Alphaproteobacteria bacterium. RNAcentral describes it as "partial 16S ribosomal RNA". It matches the Rfam family "Bacterial small subunit ribosomal RNA", at positions 140 to 431 of the family's 1533-position model. The record is from RNAcentral. Lineage: Bacteria; Pseudomonadati; Pseudomonadota; Alphaproteobacteria.